UACGUAGGGUGCAAGCGUUGUCCGGAAUUAUUGGGCGUAAAGAGCUUGUAGGCGGUUCGUCACGUCGGCUGUGAAAUCCCGAGGCUCAACCUCGGGUCUGCAGUCGAUACGGGCGGACUUGAGUACUGCAGGGGAGACUGGAAUUCCUGGUGUAGCGGUGAAAUGCGCAGAUAUCAGGAGGAACACCGGUGGCGAAGGCGGGUCUCUGGGCAGUAACUGACGCUGAGGAGCGAAAGCGUGGGGAGCGAACAGG
RNAcentral lists this ribosomal RNA (253 nucleotides) under uncultured bacterium. Its description in RNAcentral is "partial 16S ribosomal RNA". It matches the Rfam family "Bacterial small subunit ribosomal RNA", at positions 524 to 776 of the family's 1533-position model. The record is from RNAcentral.